Long non-coding RNA from Homo sapiens (human), 442 nucleotides. NCBI's taxonomy places the organism in Eukaryota, Metazoa, Chordata, Mammalia, Primates, Hominidae. The record is from Ensembl.
GUUUACCUAAGCAAGCCUGGGCAAUGGCGGGCGCCCCUCCCCCAGCCUGGCUGCCGCCUUGCAGUUUGAUCUCAGACUGCUGUGCCAGCAAUCAGCAAGACUCCAUGGGCGUCGUAGGACCCUCUGAGCCAGCAUAACAAGAGUUCCAGCAGAAGAAGACUGACAUUUAGUGGACCUAUGUACUGAUUGCUCUGACCUCCUCUCGUAAACAGGCAUUCUACUGGAACGUGUAAGAUAAUUUUUGCCAUCUGUCAUUUUCUUCUUCUUGAGAAAGGAGGAGAAUUACUGAGAAACAAGAAAAUGACUUUCUUGCAGUUGGGUUAUGGCCAUGUGAAUAAUUCUUGUCAAUGAGAAUGUGAGUGAAACUGAUAUGUAAUUGCUGGUCUGAGGCACUUAAGAAAUAAAGUAAGUUUUCUGUGCUUUCCUAACCUCAUGGCUGGAA